Long non-coding RNA from Thalassophryne amazonica, 137 nucleotides. RefSeq lists it as uncharacterized. Lineage: Eukaryota; Metazoa; Chordata; Actinopteri; Batrachoidiformes; Batrachoididae. The record is from RefSeq and is a predicted model, not a curated record. The transcript is spliced from 3 exons.
GUCAGAGGCAGGAAGUUGGCAGUGUUGCUCAGGCUGCAUCAUUAAUAGGCAUAUUGCAACACAAGUGGGAGGGAAAAUGAGCGAGGAUUGAAAUAGAAAUAGAAAGAGCCCUGACGUGUGUGUGAGAGAGAAAGAGG